UCCAGCUGUGUCAGAGGACAAGAUCACCAUUCUCAAACAGUCUUCACUGUUCUAAAGGAGAGCAGUUUGUGAGAGUGCUGCCUAAUAGGCUUCUGACAGAGCCAGCUAGGUAAAUCUAAGUCUGAGGUAAGAAUCUGUUCCAGUGGAGCUCGUCUAGCAGAAUGAGCUACCAAAUUCGUUGGUUCAGUUUCCAGGCAAGAAUGUGGCCAUCUGAGAAGUUUCAGUAUUGUAUAGGAUCAGCUAUAGUCUCAUCAACAGUUGUGUAAAUCUGGAGGAUCAAAGUUAAGAAGCUCACUUCACUGUACUGUGGGACCAGCAAAUCUGGUGUAUGUGCAACUAGUGUGGAAGCCUGACACUGUCAAAAUUUGUUAUCAUGGGCUCUCUGCCAUCACCCCAGCUGGCAAAAAUGGGACACGGUUCCAGUGCAU
Molecule: long non-coding RNA, 428 nt
Organism: Zonotrichia leucophrys gambelii
Lineage: Eukaryota; Metazoa; Chordata; Aves; Passeriformes; Passerellidae
Exons: 3
Source: RefSeq, a predicted model, not a curated record